GACGAACGCUGGCGGCGUGCUUAACACAUGCAAGUCGAACGGACAGGCCCUGCUCUUGUGGGGUGCUCGAGUGGCGAACGGGUGAGUAACACGUGAGUAUCCUGCCCUUGACUUUGGGAUAACUUCAGGAAACUGGGGCUAAUACCGGAUAGGAGCUCCUGCUGCAUGGUGGGGGUUGGAAAGUGUCGGCGGUUGGGGAUGGACUCGCGGCUUAUCAGCUUGUUGGUGUGGUAGUGGCUUACCAAGGCUUUGACGGAUAGCCGGCCUGAGAGGGUGACCGGCCACAUGGGGACUGAGAUACGGCCCAGACUCCUACGGGAGGCAGCAGUGGGGAGUAUUGCACAAUGGGCGGAAGCCUGAUGCAGCAGCGCCGCGUGCGGGAUGACGGCCUUCGGGUUGUAAACCGCUUUCGCCUGUGACGAAGCGGGAGUGACGGUAAUGGGUGAAGAAGCACCGGCUAACUACGUG
This 468-nucleotide ribosomal RNA is filed under the name uncultured bacterium. RNAcentral's name for it is "partial 16S ribosomal RNA". It matches the Rfam family "Bacterial small subunit ribosomal RNA", at positions 28 to 507 of the family's 1533-position model. The record is from RNAcentral.